RNAcentral lists this ribosomal RNA (252 nucleotides) under uncultured bacterium. Its description in RNAcentral is "partial 16S ribosomal RNA". It matches the Rfam family "Bacterial small subunit ribosomal RNA", at positions 525 to 776 of the family's 1533-position model. The record is from RNAcentral.
ACGGAGGGGACUAGCGUUGUUCGGAUUUACUGGGCGUAAAGGGUGCGUAGGCGGUUUAGUAAGUUAGAAGUGAAAGCCCAGGGCUUAACCCUGGAACUGCUUCUAAAACUAUUAGACUAGAGUGCGGGAGAGGAUAGUGGAAUUCCUAGUGUAGAGGUGAAAUUCUUAGAUAUUAGGAGGAACACCGGUGGCGAAAGCGACUAUCUGGAACGUUACUGACGCUGAGGCACGAAAGCGUGGGGAGCAAACAGG